This 650-nucleotide ribosomal RNA is filed under the name uncultured Streptomyces sp. RNAcentral describes it as "bacterial SSU rRNA". It matches the Rfam family "Bacterial small subunit ribosomal RNA", at positions 228 to 887 of the family's 1533-position model. Lineage: Bacteria; Bacillati; Actinomycetota; Actinomycetes; Kitasatosporales; Streptomycetaceae. The record is from RNAcentral.
GUCGCGGCCCUUUUCAGCUUGUUGGUGGGGUAAUGGCCUACCAAGGCGACGACGGGUAGCCGGCCUGAGAGGGCGACCGGCCACACUGGGACUGAGACACGGCCCAGACUCCUACGGGAGGCAGCAGUGGGGAAUAUUGCACAAUGGGCGAAAGCCUGAUGCAGCGACGCCGCGUGAGGGAUGACGGCCUUCGGGUUGUAAACCUCUUUCAGCAGGGAAGAAGCGCAAGUGACGGUACCUGCAGAAGAAGCGCCGGCUAACUACGUGCCAGCAGCCGCGGUAAUACGUAGGGCGCAAGCGUUGUCCGGAAUUAUUGGGCGUAAAGAGCUCGUAGGCGGCUUGUCACGUCGGAUGUGAAAGCCCGGGGCUUAACCCCGGGUCUGCAUUCGAUACGGGCUAGCUAGAGUGUGGUAGGGGAGAUCGGAAUUCCUGGUGUAGCGGUGAAAUGCGCAGAUAUCAGGAGGAACACCGGUGGCGAAGGCGGAUCUCUGGGCCAUUACUGACGCUGAGGAGCGAAAGCGUGGGGAGCGAACAGGAUUAGAUACCCUGGUAGUCCACGCCGUAAACGUUGGGAACUAGGUGUUGGCGACAUUCCACGUCGUCGGUGCCGCAGCUAACGCAUUAAGUUCCCCGCCUGGGGAAGUACGGAA